GAUGAACGCUAGCGGCAGGCCUAAUACAUGCAAGUCGAACGAGAUUGAGGAGCUUGCUCCUCAUGAAAGUGGCGCACGGGUGCGUAACGCGUAUGCAAUCUACCUUAAUCAGGGGGAUAGCCCGGAGAAAUCCGGAUUAAUACCGCAUAACGUUAUUUUAUGGCAUCAUAGAAUAACCAAACAUUUAUGGGAUUAAGAUGAGCAUGCGUGACAUUAGUUAGUUGGUGAGGUAACGGCUCACCAAGACUACGAUGUCUAGGGGAUCUGAGAGGAUGACCCCCCACACUGGUACUGAGACACGGACCAGACUCCUACGGGAGGCAGCAGUAAGGAAUAUUGGUCAAUGGGUGCAAGCCUGAACCAGCCAUGCCGCGUGCAGGAAGACGGCCCUAUGGGUUGUAAACUGCUUUUAUUCGGGAAUAAACCUCUUUACGUGUAAGGAGCUGAAUGUACCGAAGGAAUAAGGAUCGGCUAACUCCGUGCCAGC
Molecule: ribosomal RNA, 487 nt
Filed under: uncultured bacterium
Lineage: Bacteria
Description: bacterial SSU rRNA
Rfam family: Bacterial small subunit ribosomal RNA
Source: RNAcentral